GAUGACGGCCUUCGGGUUGUAAACCUCUUUCAGUAGGGAAGAAGCGAAAGUGACGGUACCUGCAGAAGAAGCGCCGGCUAACUACGUGCCAGCAGCCGCGGUAAUACGUAGGGCGCAAGCGUUAUCCGGAAUUAUUGGGCGUAAAGAGCUCGUAGGCGGUUUGUCGCGUCUGCCGUGAAAGUCCGGGGCUCAACUCCGGAUCUGCGGUGGGUACGGGCAGACUAGAGUGAUGUAGGGGAGACUGGAAUUCCUGGUGUAGCGGUGAAAUGCGCAGAUAUCAGGAGGAACACCGAUGGCGAAGGCAGGUCUCUGGGCAUUAACUGACGCUGAGGAGCGAAAGCAUGGGGAGCGAACAGGAUUAGAUACCCUGGUAG
Molecule: ribosomal RNA, 374 nt
Filed under: Arthrobacter sp. 2.5ST-Ba
Lineage: Bacteria; Bacillati; Actinomycetota; Actinomycetes; Micrococcales; Micrococcaceae
Description: bacterial SSU rRNA
Rfam family: Bacterial small subunit ribosomal RNA
Source: RNAcentral